Molecule: ribosomal RNA, 391 nt
Filed under: bacterium
Lineage: Bacteria
Description: bacterial SSU rRNA
Rfam family: Bacterial small subunit ribosomal RNA
Source: RNAcentral
UUCGGGGUACACGAGCGGCGAACGGGUGAGUAACACGUGGGUGAUCUGCCUUGCACUCUGGGAUAAGCCUGGGAAACUGGGUCUAAUACCGGAUAUGACCUGUGAUUGCAUGAUUGUGGGUGGAAAGAUUUAUCGGUGCGAGAUGAGCCCGCGGCCUAUCAGCUUGUUGGUGGGGUAAUGGCCUACCAAGGCGACGACGGGUAGCCGGCCUGAGAGGGCGACCGGCCACACUGGGACUGAGACACGGCCCAGACUCCUACGGGAGGCAGCAGUGGGGAAUAUUGCACAAUGGGCGGAAGCCUGAUGCAGCGACGCCGCGUGAGGGAUGACGGCCUUCGGGUUGUAAACCUCUUUCGACUCCGACGAAGCGAAAGUGACGGUAGGAGUAUAA